AUACGUAGGUGGCAAGCGUUGUCCGGAUUUAUUGGGUUUAAAGGGAGCGCAGGCGGAGAUGCAAGCGUGACGUCAAAUUUCGGGGCUCAACCCCGUCUCGCGUCGCGAACUGCGUCCCUUGGUUGCGGGAAGGGGAGGCGGAACUCGUGGUGUAGCGGUGAAAUGCAUAGAUAUCACGAAGAACUCCGAUCGCGAAGGCAGCCUUCCGGCCCGUCAACGACGCUCAUGCUCGAAGGUGCGGGUAUCAAACAGGAUUAGAUACCCUGGUAGUCCGCACAGUAAACGAUGGACACCCGCGGUUUGGCCUGUGUGGCUGAGCCGCCAAGCGAAAGCGUUAAGUGUCCCACCUGGGGAGUACGCCGGCAACGGUGAAACUCAAAUGAAUUGACGGGG
Molecule: ribosomal RNA, 393 nt
Filed under: uncultured bacterium
Lineage: Bacteria
Description: partial 16S ribosomal RNA
Rfam family: Bacterial small subunit ribosomal RNA
Source: RNAcentral